RNAcentral lists this ribosomal RNA (2734 nucleotides) under Unicapsula pflugfelderi. RNAcentral's name for it is "partial 28S ribosomal RNA". It matches the Rfam family "Eukaryotic large subunit ribosomal RNA", at positions 1 to 2614 of the family's 3401-position model. Lineage: Eukaryota; Metazoa; Cnidaria; Myxozoa; Multivalvulida; Trilosporidae. The record is from RNAcentral.
UGACCUCAACUCAGGCAAGACUACCCGCUGAACUUAAGCAUAUCAGUAAGCGGAGGAAAAGAAAACAACUGUGAUUCCCUUAGUAACGGCGAGUGAAGCGGGAAAAGCCCAUCGUUGAAUCUCCCGGGGCCUAGCCCAGGGCGAGUUGUGACGGUAUGGAUUGGCUUUCUAGUGUGGCGCGCCGACCAAAGUCCUCCGGAUUGAGGCGCCAAAGAGGGUGACAGCCCCGUAGACGGUCGGCGCAAAGCGCGUAUGUUACCAACUCCUAGAGUCGGGUUGUUUGGGAUUGCAACCUAAAGCAGGUGGUAAACUCCAUCUAAGGCUAAAUAUGGACACGAAACCGAUAGCGAACAAGUACCGUGAGGGAAAGUUGAAAAGAACCCUGAAAAGAGAGUUAAAAGUACGUGAAACCGCUAACGGGGAAGCGGAAGGCAGUGUCGAGACUGUGCGUGGUGGGCGGUCAAUUGCGGCCGUCAGCUGCGUGUAGUGCGUCAGGCCUGCUGGUGGGCGUGCGGAAGCGAGGCAUGGCUCUCGUAGGCUCUUAGGACUCUACGUUUGCGGCCCUGUGAAAGCGCGCGUGCUGGCAUGUUUGUGGAGAAGCGCCGGCGGCCAUCUUUGGAAGGUCGGUUGAUGCUUGGGGGUGCUGCGUCGUGUCUAAAGUUUGGGCACGGCGUCGUGGCUUCUGAGGUCGACAGUCGGCGCUAGACCCUGACGAGAUACCCAACUUUCCGACCCGUCUUGAAACACGGACCAAGGAGGCAGAAAAUGGAGCGAGUUAGAGGGUGGAAAACCCGACGGCGCAGUGAAAGCAAGAGGUGGGAUCUGUCGGCCUCGGCUGGCAGCGCACCACCGGCCGGUCAUUCGUGAUCGAGUUGGAGCUCCAUUUGCUGGACCCGAAAGAUGGUGAACUAUGCGUGAGCAGGGUGAAGCCAGAGGAAACUCUGGUGGAAGCUCGAAGCGAUUCUGACGUGCAAAUCGAUCGUUUGACUUGCGUGUGGGGGCGAAAGACUAAUCGAACCAUCUAGUAGCUGGUUCCCUUCGAAAUAUCCCUCAGGAUCGCUGAGACAGGUGGGAGACAGUUUCAUCGGGUAGAGCGAAUGAUUAGAGGACUCGGGGACAUAUUACUCUCGACCUAUUCUCAAACUACCAACCGGUGAGAUUGCCGUUUACUUGUGUGAAACGGCACGUGGAAUGUCUCUGUCUCAAGUGGGCCAUUUUUGGUAAGCAGAACUGGCGAUGCGGGAUGAACCGAGAGCCGAGCUAAGGUGCCUAAGAGCACGUCCAUAGAUACCACAAAAGGAGUCGGUCGAUGAAGACAGCAGGACGGUGGCCCUGAAAGUAGGCAUCCGCUAAGGAGUGUCUAAUAACUCACCUGCCGAAUCGACGGGCCCUGAAAAUGGAUGGCGCUGAAGCGUGCCACCGAUGCUCGGCCUUUACCUCGAGAAAUGCAGGUAAGGGGUAGAAGGGCGCGACGGUAGCGAUAAAGUGCAAAGCGCGAGCUUGCAUGGAGCUGCCGCCGGUGUAGAUCUUGGUGGUAGUAGCAACUAUAAAAGUGAGUAAAAACCUUUUAGGCCGAAGUGGAGAAGGGUUCCACGUGAACAGCAGUUGGACGUGGGUUAGUCGGUCCUAAGCGGUUGCCUAAAGGCUAUUUCAACGCAGACUUUGUCUGAGUUCCGCGAAAGGGAAUCAGGUUAAUAUUCCUGAACUGGGCGUCGGAGACGCGGUCCUCGACGCAAGAAGAGGGCCGCUUAGCGGUAACGCAAGCAAUAUCGGAGACGCUGAUGACUGUGGCGGGGAGAAUUAUCUUUUCUGCAUAACAAGCAAACACCUUGGAAUUGAGUCGCUCAGAGAUAGGGUGCAACGCUUGGAAGAGCGCCGCAAUUACUGCGGCGUCCGCACUGCAGGGAUCAGCCCUUGAAAAUCCGAUGGAGUGGUUGAAUUUCGCGCCUAUCCGUACCGAAUCCGCAUCAGGUCUCCAAGGUGUGCAGCCUCUGGCACUGGAACAAUGUAGGUAAGGGAAGUCGGCAAAAUAGAUCCGUAACUUUGGGAAAAGGAUUGGCUCUAAGGGCCGGGCCAGUCGAGCUAGCAUUGCCUAGGCUAGUGGGGUCGCCGAACGGGGCUUCUUCGGGAGUCAAGUGAGGCACACGCUGGCCCUGGAAUGCCUGCGUGGAGGGGCUUUCGGGCGCCUCCUUUGCGAGUGGCGAGUAUCGGUCAGCUUAGAACUGUUACUGACAUGGGGAAUCCGACUGUUUAAUUAAAACAAAGCAUUGCGAUGGCCUUAACAGGUGUUGACGCAAUGUGAUUUCUGCCCAGUGCUCUGAAUGUCAAAGUGCGGAGACGCAACCAAGCGCGGGUAAACGGCUGGGGUAACUAUGACUCUCUUAAGGUAGCCAAAUGCCUCGUCAUCUAAUUAGUGACGCGCAUGAAUGGAUCAACGAGAUUCCUACUGUCCCUACCUACCAUCCAGCGAAACCACAGUCAAGGGAACGGGCUUGACUGAGACAGCGGGGAAAGAAGACCCUGUUGAGCUUGACUCUAGUUUGAUAUUGUGAGAAGACAUGAGGGGUGUAGCAUAAGUGGGAGACGGCUUUCGGGUCGUCGACGGUGAAAUACCACUACUUUCAUAGUUUUCACACUAAGUCGGUGGCACGGGAGAUACCCGCCAAUGGCGGGUGGAUUCGCGGCUAUAAGGCAGACUGAUCUGCUGACCCAUCGCCGAUGACAGAAUCAGAUG